RNAcentral lists this ribosomal RNA (497 nucleotides) under uncultured bacterium. Its description in RNAcentral is "partial 16S ribosomal RNA". It matches the Rfam family "Bacterial small subunit ribosomal RNA", at positions 28 to 507 of the family's 1533-position model. The record is from RNAcentral.
GAUGAACGCUGGCGGCGUGCCUAAUACAUGCAAGUCGAGCGAACAGAUAAGGAGCUUGCUCCUUUGACGUUAGCGGCGGACGGGUGAGUAACACGUGGGUAACCUACCUAUAAGACUGGGAUAACUUCGGGAAACCGGAGCUAAUACCGGAUAACAUUUGGAACCGCAUGGUUCUAAAGUGAAAGAUGGUUUUGCUAUCACUUAUAGAUGGACCCGCGCCGUAUUAGCUAGUUGGUAAGGUAACGGCUUACCAAGGCAACGAUACGUAGCCGACCUGAGAGGGUUGAUCGCCAACCCUGAACCGGGGCACGGUCCCGGCUCCUACGGGAGGCAGCAGUAGGGAAUCUUCCGGAAUGGGCGAAAGCCUGACGGAGCAACGCCGCGGGAGUGAUGAAGGGGUUCGGCUCGUAAAACUCUGUUAUUAGGGAAGAACAAACGUGUAAGUAACUGUGCACGUCUUGACGGUACCUAAUCAGAAAGCCACGGCUAACUACGUG